This 253-nucleotide ribosomal RNA is filed under the name uncultured bacterium. Its description in RNAcentral is "partial 16S ribosomal RNA". It matches the Rfam family "Bacterial small subunit ribosomal RNA", at positions 524 to 776 of the family's 1533-position model. The record is from RNAcentral.
UACGGAGGGGGCUAGCGUUGUUCGGAAUUACUGGGCGUAAAGCGUACGUAGGCGGCUUUGUAAGUUAGAGGUGAAAGCCCGGGGCUCAACUCCGGAAUUGCCUUUAAGACUGCAUCGCUAGAAUCAUGGAGAGGUGAGUGGAAUCCCGAGUGUAGAGGUGAAAUUCGUAGAUAUUCGGAAGAACACCAGUGGCGAAGGCGACUCACUGGACAUGUAUUGACGCUGAGGUACGAAAGCGUGGGGAGCAAACAGG